UUCCUGGUGUUCCAGGAAUCUGUCUGGAAAUGCUUUUAUGCUGGGGAGACAGAAAGGCUCACCCAAAAAAGAUUUGCAACUGAAGUAACUACCCACCCAGGCUUUUCUUCCCACCUCAGCUAUAUUUUUUUUGCUAAAUGUCAGUUUGCUUGUCAGCCUCCGGCGGGGUUUUGAUGUUAUUUCCUCACUUCUUUUCUGCAGGAUCCCUGUGUCAGAGAAGGAGAGAAAUGCCACAGCAUGACAGCUUCUGCUUCCUGGCCAGGGCUGUUUGUGUGAGCGGGGAGCUCUGGGAUGUAUGGGGGCUGGAGAGGCAGACAGACAUCACGUCUGCUGUCCGAGUUGGCGGUGGGAAAGGGAAGGAAAGGUGUGAGGACACUUGUCAUGCCUGAAAGUGGCAGCCACCAGAUUGAAAAGUAAAAUGUGCAAACGCGGUGUCCACACUCGGGUGGUUUCUCCUGGCACAAAGCAGGAGGAUGCUCCAGGGAUCUGGACACUUCUCACCUGCAGUCACACUCCAGCACUGGCUCCUCAGCUCCAGGCAUCUCGUGCUCUUCAGUGAUGAGUUGCUGAUUUUCUACACUGUUUGUGUCAGCCCAGCCUCAGACAGCCCCACCUGAGCAGCUCUUCCUUCUGACAGGCCACAGAGAAAUAAGAAAUGAUUGCCAAGCAUCCGGCACUGCUGGUGCUCAGCUCACUCCCAGGAUGCCAAGGGAAGGGAUGUGACCUACCUCCGUGGAAAUCAGUGGCUGUUGGUGGGCCAUGGAGUCAUCCUCAUUCUGGCAGCAGAGAAAGGAAAAAUCCCAGCAGUUGCAGGAUUUGCAUGGAGACACAAAGUGAACCCACAUCAGAGACCUGUGAAAUUCCUGCUCUCCUCCGACACCAUGUCAGAAUUUGUCUGGAAAGAUUUCCUUUCAGAGCACUUUGUUAUUUGCCACCUGCCUUAAGGACAGGGUCUGCAACCAGCCUGGCCUCCUCCCUGCCGUUCAGCUCUGAGCAUCGUUAG
RNAcentral lists this long non-coding RNA (1003 nucleotides) under Strigops habroptila (Kakapo). RNAcentral describes it as "lncRNA (ENSSHBG00005016068.1)". Lineage: Eukaryota; Metazoa; Chordata; Aves; Psittaciformes; Psittacidae. The record is from RNAcentral.